AGAGAUGGAUUUGUGCCUUCGGGAACUGUGAGACAGGUGCUGCAUGGCUGUCGUCAGCUCGUGUUGUGAAAUGUUGGGUUAAGUCCCGCAACGAGCGCAACCCUUAUCCUUUGUUGCCAGCGAUUAGGUCGGGAACUCAAAGGAGACUGCCAGUGAUAAACUGGAGGAAGGUGGGGAUGACGUCAAGUCAUCAUGGCCCUUACGACCAGGGCUACACACGUGCUACAAUGGCGCAUACAAAGAGAAGCGACCUCGCGAGAGCAAGCGGACCUCAUAAAGUGCGUCGUAGUCCGGAUUGGAGUCUGCAACUCGACUCCAUGAAGUCGGAAUCGCUAGUAAUCGUGGAUCAGAAUGCCACGGUGAAUACGUUCCCGGGCCUUGUACACACCGCCCGUCACACCAUGGGAGUGGGUUGCAAAAGAAGUAGGUAGCUUAACCUUCGGGAGGGCGCUUACCACUUUGUGAUUCAUGACUGGGGUGAAGUCGUAACAAGGUAACCGUAGGGGAACCUGCGGUUGGA
RNAcentral lists this ribosomal RNA (520 nucleotides) under Salmonella enterica subsp. enterica serovar Typhimurium. Its description in RNAcentral is "bacterial SSU rRNA". It matches the Rfam family "Bacterial small subunit ribosomal RNA", at positions 1002 to 1522 of the family's 1533-position model. Lineage: Bacteria; Pseudomonadati; Pseudomonadota; Gammaproteobacteria; Enterobacterales; Enterobacteriaceae. The record is from RNAcentral.